UGGGGAAUUUUGGACAAUGGGCGAAAGCCUGAUCCAGCAAUGCCGCGUGUGUGAAGAAGGCCUUCGGGUUGUAAAGCACUUUUGUCCGGAAAGAAAUCCUUGGCUCUAAUACAGUCGGGGGAUGACGGUACCGGAAGAAUAAGCACCGGCUAACUACGUGCCAGCAGCCGCGGUAAUACGUAGGGUGCAAGCGUUAAUCGGAAUUACUGGGCGUAAAGCGUGCGCAGGCGGUUUGCUAAGACCGAUGUGAAAUCCCCGGGCUCAACCUGGGAACUGCAUUGGUGACUGGCAGGCUAGAGUAUGGCAGAGGGGGGUAGAAUUCCACGUGUAGCAGUGAAAUGCGUAGAGAUGUGGAGGAAUACCGAUGGCGAAGGCAGCCCCCUGGGCCAAUACUGACGCUCAUGCACGAAAGCGUGGGGAGCAAACAGGAUUAGAUACCCUGGUAGUCCACGCCCUAAACGAUGUCAACUAGUUGUUGGGGAUUCAUUUCCUUAGUACGUAGCUAACGCGUGAAGUUGACCGCCUGGGGAGUACGGUCG
RNAcentral lists this ribosomal RNA (539 nucleotides) under uncultured bacterium. Its description in RNAcentral is "partial 16S ribosomal RNA". It matches the Rfam family "Bacterial small subunit ribosomal RNA", at positions 355 to 888 of the family's 1533-position model. The record is from RNAcentral.